CUUACACAUGCAAGUCGAACGGCAGCACGGACUUCGGUCUGGUGGCGAGUGGCGAACGGGUGAGUAAUGUAUCGGAACGUGCCCAGUAGCGGGGGAUAACUACGCGAAAGCGUAGCUAAUACCGCAUACGCCCUACGGGGGAAAGCAGGGGAUCGCAAGACCUUGCACUAUUGGAGCGGCCGAUAUCGGAUUAGCUAGUUGGUGGGGUAACGGCUCACCAAGGCGACGAUCCGUAGCUGGUUUGAGAGGACGACCAGCCACACUGGGACUGAGACACGGCCCAGACUCCUACGGGAGGCAGCAGUGGGGAAUUUUGGACAAUGGGGGAAACCCUGAUCCAGCCAUCCCGCGUGUGCGAUGAAGGCCUUCGGGUUGUAAAGCACUUUUGGCAGGAAAGAAACGUCGCGGGUUAAUACCCCGCGGAACUGACGGUACCUGCAGAAUAAGCACCGGCUAACUACGUGCCAGCAGCCGCGGUAAUACGUAGGGUGCAAGCGUUAAUCGGAAUUACUGGGCGUAAAGCGUGCGCAGGCGGUUCGGAAAGAAAGAUGUGAAAUCCCAGAGCUUAACUUUGGAACUGCAUUUUUAACUACCGGGCUAGAGUGUGUCAGAGGGAGGUGGAAUUCCGCGUGUAGCAGUGAAAUGCGUAGAUAUGCGGAGGACACCGAUGGCGAAGGCAGCCUC
Molecule: ribosomal RNA, 684 nt
Filed under: uncultured beta proteobacterium
Lineage: Bacteria; Pseudomonadati; Pseudomonadota; Betaproteobacteria
Description: bacterial SSU rRNA
Rfam family: Bacterial small subunit ribosomal RNA
Source: RNAcentral